UACGUAGGGGGCAAGCGUUAUCCGGAUUCACUGGGUGUAAAAGGAGCGUAGACGGCGACGCAAGUCUGGAGUGAAAGCCCGGGGCCCAACCCCGGGACUGCUCUGGAAACUGCGGCGCUGGAGUACGGGAGGGGCAGGCGGAAUUCCUGGUGUAGCGGUGAAAUGCGUAGAUAUCAGGAGGAACACCGGCGGCGAAGGCGGCCUGCUGGACCGUGACUGACGUUGAGGCUCGAGAGCGUGGGGAGCAAACAGG
This 253-nucleotide ribosomal RNA is filed under the name uncultured bacterium. RNAcentral describes it as "partial 16S ribosomal RNA". It matches the Rfam family "Bacterial small subunit ribosomal RNA", at positions 524 to 776 of the family's 1533-position model. The record is from RNAcentral.